GAUGGCUUUAUAAUAUCUUCUUGUUUUGAGUGGGUUUUCAGUAUCCACGAAAUUUUUAUCAUUGUAGACCGGUUUGAUUAGUUGAUCUAAUGGAUAUCCUUCAUAUUCCUUAUCUAAAGCAAUAAUUGGCAUUACUUGAGUGGUAAUGAAUUUGAAUUCUUCCUUGAUGGGAGGAGUUGGUAUUGGUUUAACCACUGUGGGGUCUACAGCUUGGGCGAAGGUUUCAGGAGCCUUCAUAGCGUAACUCUGUUUGGACUGAAUAGAUGAACUCGAUGAU
This 277-nucleotide long non-coding RNA is filed under the name Capsicum annuum. RNAcentral's name for it is "long non-coding RNA (CANN_LNC012287)". Lineage: Eukaryota; Viridiplantae; Streptophyta; Magnoliopsida; Solanales; Solanaceae. The record is from RNAcentral.